This 460-nucleotide ribosomal RNA is filed under the name uncultured bacterium. RNAcentral describes it as "partial 16S ribosomal RNA". It matches the Rfam family "Bacterial small subunit ribosomal RNA", at positions 338 to 795 of the family's 1533-position model. The record is from RNAcentral.
CCUACGGGAGGCAGCAGUGAGGAAUAUUGGUCAAUGGACGAGAGUCUGAACCAGCCAUGCCGCGUGAAGGAUGACUGCCCUCUGGGUUGUAAACUUCUUUUAUAUGGGAAUAAAAUGUUCCACGUGUGGGUUUUUGUAUGUACCAUAUGAAUACGGAUCGGCUAACUCCGUGCCAGCAGCCGCGGUAAUACGGAGGAUCCGAGCGUUGUCCGGAUUUAUUGGGUUUAAAGGGAGCGUAGGUGGAUUGUUAAGUCAGUUGUGAAAGUUUGCGGCUCAACCGUAAAAUUGCAGUUGAAACUGGCAGUCUUGAGUACAGUAGAGGUGGGCGGAAUUCGAGGUGUAGCGGUGAAAUGCGUAGAGAUCACGAGGAACUCCGAUGGCGAAGGCAGCUCACUGGACUGCAACUGACACUGAGGCGCGAAAGUGUGGGUAUCAAACAGGAUUAGAUACCCUUGUAGUC